This 75-nucleotide non-coding RNA is filed under the name Betaproteobacteria bacterium. Its description in RNAcentral is "SAH sequence". It matches the Rfam family "SAH (S-adenosyl-L-homocysteine) riboswitch aptamer". Lineage: Bacteria; Pseudomonadati; Pseudomonadota; Betaproteobacteria. The record is from RNAcentral.
CUUGCUGAGGAGCGCUGCGACCUUUUUAGACUAGAGGGCCAGGCUCAGCAAUUGAAUAAACGGCGCUCACAAACC